This 337-nucleotide unclassified non-coding RNA is filed under the name soil metagenome. RNAcentral describes it as "partial contains 5.8S ribosomal RNA, internal transcribed spacer 2, and large subunit ribosomal RNA". The stretch from base 1 to 120 matches the Rfam family "5.8S ribosomal RNA", at positions 35 to 154 of the family's 154-position model. The record is from RNAcentral.
GAUGAAGAACGCAGCGGAAUGCGAUAAGUAGUGUGAAUUGCAGAAUUCAGUGAAUCAUCGAAUCUUUGAACGCACAUUGCGCCCCUUGGUAUUCCAUGGGGCAUGCCUGUUCGAGCGUCAUUUGUACCUUCAAGCUUUGCUUGGUGUUGGGUGUUUGUCUCGCCUCCGCGUGUAGACUCGCCUCAAAACAAUUGGCAGCCGGCGUAUUGAUUUCGGAGCGCAGUACAUCUCGCGCUUUGCACUCACAACGACGACGUCCAAAAGUACAUUUUUACACUCUUGACCUCGGAUCAGGUAGGGAUACCCGCUGAACUUAAGCAUAUCAAUAAGCGGAGGA